GCUUCUGGUAAUCCUUCUUGGAGUCCUGGAUGGUCGGUGAAGCGGUUAUCCUGGGAAACCGGAUGGAGCCACAACGAUUUUGGUUUCCUUCCUGCAGUCCUGAAAGUUCGUUGAAGGGAUUAUCCUGAAAGUCGGAUGGACCAACAACGCUGCUUUUGGUUUUUCUUUUGGAGUCUUGGAUAUUCGAUGAAGCAGCUUUCCUGGAAGUGAAAGGGUGAAUCGAUUGGGGCCCCAACGUUUGACUUCACCAUCAUAUGGAGCUGCUGCAGCGGAACCUCUUUCACCAUCCAUGACGGGACCCUGGACUUCUAAUCGGGGGUGUCGGUCGGGAGUGUUCCGGAGCGUCCAGAUUCGAAUCUGGAGGUCUCCAAUACACGGGAUUUCGGAAUUUCCGAGAUCCUGGGUCUUGGAAA
Long non-coding RNA from Agrilus planipennis (emerald ash borer), 413 nucleotides. RefSeq lists it as uncharacterized. The record is from RefSeq and is a predicted model, not a curated record. The transcript is spliced from 4 exons. NCBI's taxonomy places the organism in Eukaryota, Metazoa, Arthropoda, Insecta, Coleoptera, Buprestidae.